RNAcentral lists this ribosomal RNA (613 nucleotides) under Mantella laevigata. RNAcentral's name for it is "partial 16S ribosomal RNA". The stretch from base 1 to 423 matches the Rfam family "Bacterial large subunit ribosomal RNA", at positions 686 to 1300 of the family's 2925-position model. The record is from RNAcentral. Lineage: Eukaryota; Metazoa; Chordata; Amphibia; Anura; Mantellidae.
AAACGAACUUUAAGUUUAACUCCCCGAAACUGAUGUGAGCUACUUCGAAACAGCUAUAAGAGCCAACCCAUCUCUGUUGCAAUAGAGUGGGAAGAUUUCCAAGUAGAGGCGACAAACCUACCGCACUCAGAAAUAGCUGGUUACUCAAGAAAAGAAUCUUAGUUCAACCUUAAAUUUAUCCAAGUUUUUCCAAACGCCCAUAAAAUUUAAGAGUUAUUCAAAUAAGGCACAGCUUAUUUGAAACAGGAUACAACCUACACCACAGGGUAAUACGCCAAAACAAAAUGAUUAGUAGGCCUAAAAGCAGCCACCAUUUACAAAAGCGUUAAAGCUUUACAUUUCCUUUUUAUAAUCCCCCGCACCACUUAAAACCCUUCCCCAAUAUUGAGUAAUUUCAUAAAAAUAUGAAAGAUAUUAUGCUAGAACUAGUAACAAGAAACAACCUUUCUCCAAAAUGUAAACUUAAGCCAUAUCCGAUAAACAACUGGCAAUUAACGAAGCUGAACCUACUUUAGCAACCCACCAAGAAAACCCUAUAAAUCAAAACGUUAACCUUACACAAGAACAUUAAUGGAAAGAUUAAAAGAAAAAGAAGGAACUCGGCAAAUCUUAC